CCUCAUCUGGCAAUUUCGAUUAAGGUCACUAGCCUUUAUAUAUAUAAAUUUUUUUUUAUCUAUUUAUUCUCUUCCAUACUUUUAUCGAAGGUUAACUUCAUAUUGUUCGUCGUCUGAAAGAUCGAUAUCAUUCAAAAUGGGGCUUUCACGGGAUGAAAAUUUCAAUUUACGAUACGACAAAUAUUUACAUAUGUAUAUAAAAUAAUUUUUAUACAGUUGUGAUUACUACAUUCUCUAGAUUGCGUAAGAGGCAUUUUUAUUUGAUAUUCCGUCUUUAAUUUUUUUUUUUUUUUUUUUACGACACAGACAAUUUCUUCGGAUUCUAUAACUGUUUAUCUUUAUUGCAAAUUAGCAAUAUCUGUUAUAGGAAAAGCUAAGUAGAAUGGCAAUUACCUAAUGAUAAGUGCCUUCAACACGCCGACUUUAAGACGCUAGUGCCUUUUGUUGUAACGAAAACAAAUAAUAAAGAAAAGUUAUCCGAAGACCUUGGCUGGAUAUACAGCUACAUCCCAUUUAUCCAAUAAUUCCAACAACACCGUUUUGCUUAUAAUAGGGAUACCUCUUAGAAGGUCACAUACCUGCUUAGCCUAUAGUCAAUUGCCAACUUAUGGCUGUCGAUUCCAAUUAAGACACGAAUGAAUGUCGACAUUUUCCAUCGUACGAAAUCAUGUUUAAUAGACUUCAAGUAUCAUUAAACCAGAGAAUAUUAUCGUUAAAAUAGCUAACAGUAGAGAACAGAAACAAAAAAGUUAUUACACACAGUAAACGUCAUAGAAUCGUUAGAUUAGAUUAUAAAUUCAGAGAAGUGAAUAAUGUAAAAAUUCUUUUGUACAACGCUGUAGAAAUGAUCAUCAUGGAUAUACGUCGUUUCAGAUUAAAUUUGAGAUGGACUACACAAAUCAAGACCAAGAACCAGGAAGAAUGAUACCUUUGGACACAAUUAAGAGGGAGAAAAUAGGCAACGAUGAUUCUUGUGUUCCAGUGGCUCCUUCCAGAUCUUUGGGUUCCAUGCAAAAAGUACCAUCAAUGAGUGAUUUAUCGGAAGAAAGUUCUUUGGAUCUCCCAACUCAGGUGCCACCAUUGACUCCAGGGACCAAUCAAAAAAUGACGC
RNAcentral lists this long non-coding RNA (1111 nucleotides) under Androctonus crassicauda. Lineage: Eukaryota; Metazoa; Arthropoda; Arachnida; Scorpiones; Buthidae. The record is from RNAcentral.